RNAcentral lists this long non-coding RNA (564 nucleotides) under Phoenix dactylifera (date palm). RNAcentral's name for it is "long non-coding RNA (PDAC_LNC020705)". The record is from RNAcentral. Lineage: Eukaryota; Viridiplantae; Streptophyta; Magnoliopsida; Arecales; Arecaceae.
UAAAAUUAAAAAAAAAAUAAUCUAAUUUUUACUCUCUUUUUUUCUGAAAAUCAAAAUCAUCUAUGGCCCCCACCACGGCUACCACCCUUGCAUAUCUCCACUGCUGCUACACACUGUACAGAGAGUAUUCAUAUGUGUCGACACCGAGGGCAAACCAAGUCUCGUACCUUACCGGUCAGAUACAAUUUGCCCCAUAUUGAGAGAAUAUGAUUUAAUAGUCUCAUGAAACUUUAGAAACAUUCACAUACUCGAGAAUUUAAUUUGAUGAUAAAGAACUGAAAAUGGAGUAACUCCAAAUAAUUAAAAACUAGGUCAAAAUUCUAUGCAUGAGUGAGGAAAGUAUUUUGAAGGCGAGCAAUCAAUUUUGCCCUUCCGAAAAUUUAAAUUGCAUUCUGGUUUUGACUGCUUAGGCUUCAGAAACAUGCAUAUCAUCACUCUUGGACUGUGUGUGACUGGAAAAUUAACUAGGAAUGAGCCGCUCCAAUCAUAUUUCGUGGCCUACAAAGAUAAUCCAUGCAAUUAGCCAAACACAGACCAGCUGAGCUCAUCUUAGAGGAGGAAAGC